CGGGUGCAGCAGGCGCGAAACCUUUACAAUGUGCGAAAGCGUGAUAAGGUUACCCGGAGUGCUAUUUUAGCUGUUACAGGGUGUAAAUAACCCUGAGAGGAAGGAGAGGGCAAGGCUGGUGCCAGCCGCCGCGGUAAAACCAGCUCUUCAAGUGGUCAGGACAAUUAUUGGGCUUAAAGUGUCCGUAGCCGGUUUGGUAAGUUCCUGGUUAAAUCUGGCAGCUUAACUGUCGGCGGGCUAGGAAUACUGCCUUACUAGGGGGCGGGAAAGGUCCGAGGUACUCCAGGGGUAGCGGUGAAAUGUGAUAAUCCUUGGGGGACCACCAGUGGCGAAAGCGUCGAACUGGAACGCGCCCGACGGUGAGGGACGAAAGCUAGGGGAGCGAACGGGAUCAGAUACCCCGGUAGUCCUAGCCGUAAACGAUGCGUGCUAGGUGUUGGUAGGGCUAUGAGCUGUAUCAGUGCCGUAGGGAAACUGUUAAGCACGCCGCCUGGGAAGUACGCUCGCAAGAGUGAAACUUAAAGGAAUUGGCGGGGGAGCAC
This 542-nucleotide ribosomal RNA is filed under the name uncultured archaeon. Its description in RNAcentral is "bacterial SSU rRNA". It matches the Rfam family "Archaeal small subunit ribosomal RNA", at positions 327 to 879 of the family's 1478-position model. The record is from RNAcentral.